This is a long non-coding RNA of Brassica oleracea var. oleracea, 354 nucleotides long. RefSeq lists it as uncharacterized. The record is from RefSeq and is a predicted model, not a curated record. The transcript has 3 exons. Lineage: Eukaryota; Viridiplantae; Streptophyta; Magnoliopsida; Brassicales; Brassicaceae.
UGAUGGCCUUCAAGAGUUUGAAUGUUCUCUCCUACUGGAGAGACAAUGCUAAUCGGUUUAAGGAGCUCACAUCAAUGGCAUGUGACGUCUUGAGCAUACCCAUCACCACGGUUGCUUCAGAAUCAUCCUUCAGCAUUGGAAGCCGUGUAUUGAACAAAUACAUAAGCUGCCUUCUCCCUUCGAAUGUCAGAGCACUGAUUUGCGCAAGAAAUUGGCUAAGAGGAUUUGAGUCUUUAGACUGUGAUGAAGUGGAUUUUGAACCCUUGGAGUUGGAGGAAGUUGGAGAAGAAGUUAAUGAAACAUGUCAAGUCUGAGUUCAUGGGCAAGUGACAUGUAUGAAGUUGAGCACUUAUG